GGGCGUUUAGCGCAGUGGUAGCGCGUAUGCUUUGCAAGACCCGGGAAACCGGAUUCUAUCGUGUGUAUAAGGUCCAGGGUUCAAUCCCCUGAACGUCCA
Molecule: transfer RNA, 99 nt
Filed under: Crucibulum laeve
Lineage: Eukaryota; Fungi; Basidiomycota; Agaricomycetes; Agaricales; Nidulariaceae
Rfam family: tRNA
About the family: Transfer RNA (tRNA) molecules are approximately 80 nucleotides in length. Their secondary structure includes four short double-helical elements and three loops (D, anti-codon, and T loops). Further hydrogen bonds mediate the characteristic L-shaped molecular structure. tRNAs have two regions of fundamental functional importance: the anti-codon, which is responsible for specific mRNA codon recognition, and the 3' end, to which the tRNAs corresponding amino acid is attached (by aminoacyl-tRNA synthetases). tRNAs cope with the degeneracy of the genetic code in two manners: having more than one tRNA (with a specific anti-codon) for a particular amino acid; and 'wobble' base-pairing, i.e. permitting non-standard base-pairing at the 3rd anti-codon position.
Source: Rfam by way of RNAcentral